RNAcentral lists this long non-coding RNA (649 nucleotides) under Homo sapiens (human). RNAcentral's name for it is "LYRM4 antisense RNA 1". The record is from RNAcentral. Lineage: Eukaryota; Metazoa; Chordata; Mammalia; Primates; Hominidae.
AGAUAUAGAGUGUGAGAGAGAAGAGUGGAGGCUGGUUCUCAGGCUCCAGAAGCAUAAGCCUGCAUGGAGCAUAGCGUCACUGAGCAAGACAGGUGUGGAGGAUGAGAAGCGGGCCACAGGAUGGGAAGGGAAUCUGUGUGGAGGCGGUGCCCUAAACAUGCUGCCUUGAGGAGGGACCUCUACAUGGGGUGGCCGGGCACAGCCAGAUGUCCCUGGAGACAGCGCCAUCUGGUGGAACUUCCUGUAACGAUCGAGAUGUUCCGUCUGUGCCGUCCAACAUGGGAGCCAUGCAGGACACAUGGUGACUGAGCACUGGGACUGUGUGCCGCGUGACCAAGAGCAGCUCAGCUCUAAAGUCUCCUCCAGCUUUAUGAUGUCACUUCCUGUAUCUUCUCUACACAUUCUUUCCUUCAGCCUGUUGUUUCCACACUUUUAAGUUGAGAAAAGGUGCUGUUCCUACAACACAGAUCAAGCCACUCCCUUGCUUGAAACACUCCAGUGGCAGUCCACAGCUUCUGGGACAAGAGCCAGCCUGUCACUUGGCAGCAGCCUCUCCAUCUUCGUCUCCAGCCUUACAGUCCGAUCUCAUUAUUUCUAGAUUCCAUACCUGCAAAUUCACCUCUUCACUAAAAUGUGUUUGUAAACCAAA